This 486-nucleotide ribosomal RNA is filed under the name uncultured bacterium. Its description in RNAcentral is "partial 16S ribosomal RNA". It matches the Rfam family "Bacterial small subunit ribosomal RNA", at positions 30 to 507 of the family's 1533-position model. The record is from RNAcentral.
AUUGAACGCUGGCGGAAUGCUUUACACAUGCAAGUCGAACGGCAGCACGGGAGCUUGCUCCUGGUGGCGAGUGGCGAACGGGUGAGUAACAUAUCGGAACGUACCCAGUCGUGGGGGAUAACUAUCCGAAAGGAUAGCUAAUACCGCAUACGUCCUGAGGGAGAAAGCGGGGGAUCGCAAGACCUCGCGCGAUUGGAGCGGCCGAUAUCGGAUUAGCUAGUUGGUGGGGUAAAGGCUCACCAAGGCGACGAUCCGUAGCGGGUCUGAGAGGACGACCCGCCGCACUGGAACUGAGACACGGUCCAGACUCCUACGGGAGGCAGCAGUGGGGAAUUUUGGACAAUGGGGGCAACCCUGAUCCAGCCAUUCCGCGUGAGUGAAGAAGGCCUUCGGGUUGUAAAGCUCUUUCAGCAGGAACGAAACGGUCGGCUUUAAUAAAGUCGGCUAAUGACGGUACCUGCAGAAGAAGCACCGGCUAACUACGUG